GGGCAAUUAGCUCAAUGGCAGAGCGCCUGGUUUACAUCCAGGAGGUUAGAGGUUCAAAUCCUCUAUUGCCCA
Molecule: transfer RNA, 72 nt
Filed under: Candidatus Parcubacteria bacterium
Lineage: Bacteria; Candidatus Parcubacteria
Description: tRNA-Val
Rfam family: tRNA
About the family: Transfer RNA (tRNA) molecules are approximately 80 nucleotides in length.
Source: RNAcentral